AGCACAGAGCCCGAGGCGGGGCUUGAACCCACAAGCCAUGAGAUUAUGAUCUGAGCUGAGGUCGGAUGGUUAACUGACUGAGCCACCCAGUCACCCCCAAAAUUCAAGGUUUUGAUGAAUGAUGUCACCUCCAAUCUUUUAUCCCCCUGCCAGAAAUUCAACAGUUACUUCCUCCCCUAUUAUGUUGUUUUGUCUUCUCAGAGAUACUUUUGAUUUUUAUUCAUAUCAGCUGUGUCUCAUGACCAUGUUUUCUCAUCUUCUGUUCCUUUCAUCUACCUAGCUGUGCUGGCACCUGUACCACACCCCAUCAACUGGUGUUAAUUUAACAUCUUUUAACACCUUGGAGUCAGAUUUCUUUGCUUUUGAAGGUAACUUUUUUUCUUUUUGUGAAAUUAACACUUUCUCCUUGUAAAAGUUUCAGAAAAUACAGAGAAGCAGGGGGGAAAAAAAAAGUAAAAAUCAUCGAUACCUCUAUCAACGAGGGACAACCUUGGUCAAAUUAUUGGAGCAGGUUCUGCCAGAUUUUGUUUUUGAGGCAAAUGUGAGCAUAUGUAACAGCUCAUAAUCUCCCUUAAUCGUGCUAAAAUAAAUUAUUCACAAGUCUCAAAAUAAAAACAAAACAGGUGUUGUGGUAGACGGAAUUUUGGAGGGGGCCUCCGUGACCUUGGCUCUCUAGUGUUACUCCUUUGUUGGCAAAAGGGAGAUGAUCCAGGUGGGUCCAAUCUAAUCACACAACUAUUGAAAAGCAGAGUUUUCGCCAGCUGCGGGCACGGGCACGAGAGGACGUUAGGCCGACGUGGUGUUUUAGGACGGCUGGAGGCAGAGUUGUUCUUUGAAUUCAGAGAUGGUCAAGUGGAGAACAAAGCAGGCAGCCUUUAACAGUGAGGGUAGCUCCCACUGAGAGCUAGCAAGGAAAUAGGGAAUUAGAACCUACUACCCCAAAGAACUCAGCUUGACCACCCACCUCAAGGGGUUUGGAAAUGGAUCUUACUCCAGAACUUCCAGAUCACAGAAUAUUUUAACGGUAGGAGAGACUCAAAGUGCUCGAACCGCCACCAAGGAAGACCCAUGAGACGUGACGAUGAAGCAAAUCUGAACCUGACAUUCACAUUGUACUGUGAGCUCCCUGCAUGCCCGUCCACCUGCAGGCCCAAGCAGGGAUGUAAUGGAAUCUUCAGUGAGCCUUGGACCAUUUAUCUAGACAACUGAUGGAGUCCAGGGAAUCUAAAAUGUCAGACCAUCUGGUUCAACACCGUGCCCUCCUUGUCCGGACUCCUGGACCUUCUUCCUUCCUCAGGAAACCUAGGCCGUUGCCCGCAGGCUCAGACUCCCGGGCCACUUCCUUCUUGAACCCAAAGAGCUCCCAACCCAAAGCAUGGAGACUUCUGUCCGUGCCAGGGAAGUGGCCGACGACACUCCCUCCCGACCUCCAGCUGCCUCUGUGCCACACACAGUCCUCCUCACACCCAUCUCACGAAUCCCAACCUCCUCUCCCCUCACCCUCCUUCCUGGCCUGAUGCUUCACUCUGUUUUAUUUUCUCUGUCCCAGAUCAAACUCAAAGGCCCUUCUGACCAGACUCCCGAGGUUGGAAGCUGGGAGUAAAUGGAGGCCAAAGGGAAGGACUGUCUCAAGAUCCUGGGCUCUCCACUACCCACACACACUGUUCCCCCUUUCUCUUCCCCUCUUCCUCUGUUACCAAGCUCCCAUCAGAACUGAGGUCUGAAGGGCCCCCUGGGGCAAGCAGGGGUGCUGUGAGGAUCUGAAAAUGCCCUCUUGGAACUAGAAUCGUGGAACUCUUUGGCUUGAGGAGAAGCACAGGGCAGAAGUCCUGUCCCGCAGGGUAGAAAGCACCUCACUUGUGAGUUCUGCUUCAAAGGAGCAAGUAUCUCCCACGGAGAUCCACCUUCCAACCCCGCAGGAAGUUUCCCACUCUGUCACAUUCAUUCAUGGAUUCAGUGAGCCACUGUGUGCCACCUCUCCUUGGAAGGGUUCUGAGAUGAUCAGGCAGGAGUGAGACCACGGUCAUCUGGAUUUCUGGAAGAUGAGGUAAAGUGUAAAGAAUUGUCUUUAUCCAGACAAGAGGUUCUAAGCUUCUUAGAGAUGCCAAACCCUUAGAAUAAGCAAAAGGGCCUCUCCCCAGAAAAAUUUACACAUGAAAAGUGCCCGAAGCUCUGUAAACAGCCCCAGGGCUCCACCCUGCAAAGGACCUGGAGAGAGCCUGGGCUUCAGUGAGCUAGCACCGAGUCCACAGGCAGGGCACCCAAGCCCCGCUCCAGUGUGCCAGAGGGCACAAGGGACCCUGGCCUCAUCCUAGGUCCAGUUCCUAGGACCUGGCUGCGAAGAAAAAGCAAGUGAAUGAACACCUCAUUUUGCUCUUUUUGGGAUAUACAUAGGGUCCCUCCUCUCUACUGUCAAGGAAAGUAGGGCUCCUGAGCAAGAAUUGUCCAGAUCCCGAGGUGAGCAAAAUGCUAUGCCCAGUGCUUUCAUCAGGGUAAUGUCUACUGAAUUCACCCUGUGGUCUUGAGAUAAUCUGCUGCCUCCUGGCUGGCUAGCCAGAUGCAGGGCCUUUCUUCCUAGGUCACUGCAGAGGAGAGGACCCCUACACGCAUGCGCGCGCACACACACACACACACACACACACACACACACACACAGGCCAGCAGAAGAGAAGACGCCUACACAGACACACACACACACACACAC
Molecule: long non-coding RNA, 2704 nt
Organism: Felis catus (domestic cat)
Lineage: Eukaryota; Metazoa; Chordata; Mammalia; Carnivora; Felidae
Exons: 4
Source: RefSeq, a predicted model, not a curated record